CGCCGGAAUCGGAUGAUCUAUGCCAUGCGAGUCAUUGUAGUAAUACAAGGCAGACGGCUCAGUAACGCGUAGUCAACCUAACCUAUGGACGGGAAUAACCUCGGGAAACUGAGUAUAAUGCCCGAUAGAACAUUAUGCCUGGAAUGGUUUAUGUUCCAAAUGAUUUAUCGCCGUAGGAUGGGACUGCGGCCUAUCAGUUUGUUGGUGAGGUAAUGGCCCACCAAGACUAUUACAGGUACGGGCUCUGAGAGGAGUGGCCCGGAGAUGGGUACUGAGACACGGACCCAGGCCCUAUGGGGCGCAGCAGGCGAGAAAACUUUGCAAUGUGCGAAAGCACGACAAGGUUAAUCCGAGUGGUUUCUGCUAAAGGAACCUUUUGUCAGUCCUAGAAACACUGAUGAAUAAGGGGUGGGCAAGUUCUGGUGUCAGCCGCCGCGGUAAAACCAGCACCUCAAGUGGUCAGGAUGAUUAUUGGGCCUAAAGCAUCCGUAGCCGGCUCCGUAAGUUUUCGGUUAAAUCUGUACGCUUAACGUACAGGCUGCCGGGAAUACUGCAGAGCUAGGGAGUGGGAGAGGUAGACGGUACUCGGUAGGAAGGGGUAAAAUCCUUUGAUCUAUUGAUGACCACCUGUGGCGAACGCGGUCUACCAGAACACGUCCGACGGUGAGGGAUGAAAGCUGGGGGAGCAAACCGGAUUAGAUACCCGGGUAGUCCCAGCUGUAAACCAUGCAAACUCAGUGAUGCAUUGGCUUGUGGCCAAUGCAGUGCUGCAGGGAAGCCGUUAAGUUUGCCGCCUGGGAAGUACGUACGCAAGUAUGAAACUCAAAUGAAUUGACGGAAU
Molecule: ribosomal RNA, 841 nt
Filed under: uncultured crenarchaeote
Lineage: Archaea; Thermoproteati; Thermoproteota
Description: bacterial SSU rRNA
Rfam family: Archaeal small subunit ribosomal RNA
Source: RNAcentral